UAGGGAAUCUUCCACAAUGGACGCAAGUCUGAUGGAGCAACGCCGCGUGAGUGAAGAAGGUUUUCGGACCGUAAAGCUCUGUUGUUGGUGAAGAAGGAUAGAGGUAGUAACUGGCCCUUUAUUUGACGGUAAUCAACCAGAAAGUCACGGCUAACUACGUGCCAGCAGCCGCGGUAAUACGUAGGUGGCAAGCGUUGUCCAGAUUUAUUGGGCGUAAAGCGAGCGCAGGCGGAAGAAUAAGUCUGAUGUGAAAGCCCUCGGCUUAACCGAGGAAUUGCAUCGGAAACUGUUUUCUUGAGUGCAGAAGAGGAGAGUAGAACUCCAUGUGUAGCGGUGGAAUGCGUAGAUAUAUGGAAGAAUACCAGUGGCGAAGGCGGCUCUCUGGUCUGCAACUGACGCUGAGGCUCGAAAGCAUGGUAGCGAACAGGAUUAGAUACCCUGGUAGUCCAUGCCGUAAACGAUGAGUGCUAAGUGUUGGGAGGCUUCCGCCUCUCAGUGCUGCAGCUAACGCAUUAAGCACUCCGCCUGGGGGAGUACGACCGCAAGGUUGAAAC
RNAcentral lists this ribosomal RNA (554 nucleotides) under uncultured bacterium. RNAcentral describes it as "partial 16S ribosomal RNA". It matches the Rfam family "Bacterial small subunit ribosomal RNA", at positions 355 to 900 of the family's 1533-position model. The record is from RNAcentral.